CUCCCCUCCUCCUCCUCCUCCCCCUUCUCCUCUCCUCCUCCUCUCUUCCUCUUCUUCCUCCUCCUCUUCUCCCCCUUUCCCCCCCCCUCAUUUCCCUUCUCCCUCUUCUGUUCUUUGCUCCUCCCUCCAGAAUCUGUUCCCUUGAGAGGAAGUGUGAGGAGGAGGAUUCUGGUACACCAGAUCUUUGUUCCAAGUACAUAUUAUCAUAAAAUGUUGGAGAUUGUUGGGGCCGGCCCCUCAUUGCACAGAUGGGGAAACAGAGUCGGGGGGGCGUGACAUGGGCCAGCACCCAGGUGAGACCCUUGGCCAGGGGCUGCAAGCCGGGCCCUGCAGACUGGCCCAGCAUUGCACCCAGCCGGCUCAGGAGGGCCUGGACAAGACCCUUUGGCGGAUUCGGAACCAGAGUCGGCUCCUGGAUGGCUGCCCCGUCUCAGACUGCCUCCCCCACCCCCGCUCCCGUUCCCUCCCCCUUUGGUGCUGGCUGGAUCCUGGCCCCUUCUCUUCCCUUCCUCUCUCUGACAGAGCCGGGAUGCAUCCAGACUCUCCUGCUCGCUCCCCCUACCUGAUGGCCAAUGACCAGGCCAGGAUCUCUCGGACACCUGGACGGUAGGAGAUGGCGGCCCUCCGGGCCCUCCCACGGGCCCACCUCCCUUCCUGCGUGGGCGCUGGAGGCAGGGACUCUGACUUUUCUCCCUGCAUCUCUAGGGCCUGCGCCCAGGAGGAAGUUAAUAAAUGCUUUCCAUAUGAUUUUGCUGCCAUUCCUUGAAGAGUAACUAAGGCCACUGGCCAAGCCAAAGGGCAAAGGGGCCAAGAUGGCCCUUCUGAGGAGGAAAUUCUAGGACCCUGCAGCUUGCAGAGGCAAGUAAAACAAAUCCCUCCCCGGCUGUGCCCAAACUGUGUCUCGUGCUGCCUGUUCCGCUCCUCUGCCUUCUCUGGGCCGGGGCCGGGCGGCUGCUUCAUCGGGGCCUCGGAUCUGGCCCUGGGUCUUUGGGAAGAUGAGCAGAGAGCUCGCGGCUUCCGAAGGUGUUUGUCUCCAUAGUGUUGGAACGAGUCUCCCGGGUCUGCUCCCACAGGUCCUCCCAGAUUCCUCUGAAGUCCCUUCCCAGAACCAGAGCGAGCCCGGGGCCCGUUCCCAGACCACGCCUCGUUCAGCCCCUCCCCAGCGGGUGGGCAGCCCCCUCGGGAGCCGCUAGGGGCAUUUUUGUGCUUCUCUCCCGGGCCCUGCUGGGUCAGUGCCCCGUGCGUGCCUUGGGCUCCAACUGGCCUCGCAGUCGCCAGGGCUCGUGUGUUCCGGAUUCUCAGCCACGUGGCCCUUUACAGAGAUAUUCCUGCCAAACACGGGGUUUGGUUCAGGAAGAGCCCCCCAGUGUUUCUCGAGUGCACGUCCUCGUCUCCCCCCUCAGUUCGGAGCCUUUGCUCCUCCUCCAUCCGCACCCGACCCCUGCCCAAGAUCCCGGGACAGCCCCACGCUGUGGGCAUCGUACGGGCAGCGGGCACGGACGGGAGGAUGCGGCGUGCUCACGGGUCAGCGCGAUCCUCAGCCGAGGGGGAUGGGCCCAAGAUGGAGAUGAAGGCCCUGGGAUGGAGUGGGGAAGGGGCGACAGUCAUGGAGGGAAGGUUUCCACUAGUGCACAGAGGGGUGCAGGCUUUCUCAUACGUCCGAUAGAAAACCCGGUGCCCUCUCGGUGGGGACCCCCGUCUGGUGUCUUCACUGGCACAUCCCCGAGGGUCCAGCGCCUCCGUGUGGAAGGACGAAGGUGAUUGCCGUAAAGGGCAGGACAGCCAUUUGGCUGGUGAGACUGGCUGAGACUUGUCAUUCAGGGCUCACACGCCGUAGCCCGGAUCUCAGUCUCCAGAGCUCAGGCUCCGGAGACACGGGGUUUGGUGUGUUUCAUGCUCUCCCCCGUCUCUCUCCCUUUGCCCCCCUUUCCAUGUCCAUGCUCCCCGGGAGCUUUCCUUGCAGACCGUCCAGCUGCUGGGGCCCGUUCAGAAUGACCCUGCUUCUCCCUGCACGUGUCCCGGAGCAAACAGAUGCAAAUGUGCCCCAGAUUCUGCAGUUCCCUCCUCCGCGAACCCUGGGUGCUGGCCUUCUGUUCCCACCCCCCAGGAGGAGAGGAGAGCUAAACAUGGCUUACGGCCAGAACGGGGGCCGGCGCGCCUGGUCUCCCUCCUGCCAGCUUUCCCCUUUCGUGUCACCAAGCUGAGUCCAGAGCCGCCCACAGCAAGCCGGGCGUCACCUAGCCCCAAGGGGGAAGAAGAGUCCAAAAGCCCGUGUGAGCUGUUUAGGAAGGGUCUUCUCAGGGACCCCCUCCUAGCCUCCUCCGCUGUGGGGACACAGGGGUCUCUCUGCAGCCCCAGUACAGGGCGGCCCCCAGCUCUGACAACAAAGGAUCUGGACUCAGGUCACCUUCCAUGGCUUACUACUUUAAUGAUCUUGGAUUGAACGAACUUAAUAACUUCUCUGUGCCUCAGUUUCCUUCUCUGUCAAAUAGGAACAGUCAAUUUAAAGGGAAAGUAACGCCUCUAUGUAGAUUGAAACAGCAUUUGGAUUUGUCUCAAGCGAGAGAGCCUGGGAAAGUGGCUGUGGACUCUCUGGCCUGGGCUUUUCAAUGUGAUACGGGUAACCUCCACAGAGCCUUUCGGGAGGAAGAACACGCCGUGUUCUGUCAUGAGACGUUGGCCCAGGACUGGAUCUGUCUGAAGUGACGAGGCUGCCCUAGAAACCUGCUGUUUUCAGUUGUGGACAUCAAAUAAGUGGCUCUCAGGGUAAAAGAAGCCUCUUUGGAUGAACCUGCCCCAUUUCUAAACUUUAAAAUGGACCUUGAAAAGCAAGUAAAAGAUAAAAAGCAGACAGCAAACGCCUAAGUACAAAUGGUUCCCCUUGUUACCGAACUGGAGCUGGGACCCGAGCGCCGAGUGUGGUGCAGUAUUCCACCUGUUUCCCCACAGAUUGUUUUUGCUACUUCUGACUCCGAGAAGAUAAAGCAAGAAGGAAAAUAGACACAUUUGCCCCUUUCCCCCAUCAUCCAGGCUUGUACUUUUCCUUCUGCCAUCUAGUCCCCGGGAAUAAAAAGGACCAGUCCACAAAGCACAAAGCAAAGAGUGUCUCCUUCCAAAGAAAUGCAUCCAGCAGCACGGUGACCCAGGGAGAGCUGGGAUUCGUGCCUGCACGGGGCACUUUGAAGGGAACAAACACAAGGGGGAAGGGGGAAGGGAGAAAGUAUUUAUUUAAUGCCUACUGUGAGCCAGGCACUGUACUAAGCGCUUUAUGUAUAUUAUUCCGUUUGAGAGUCUCCAGUGGUCCACGCUCCUACACUGCCUCCAAGGAAGAACCCUCGUGGUUUGAGACCCAAUGAAAUCUGGCAAAUGGAUGGGACCCAUUAUAAAUCUUUCGGUCGUCUGUCUUUUAUCCAUGCUGUGGUAGACACCUUUUCAGGAUUCACUUUUGCCAUACCAGCAGCAAAUGAGACAGCCCGAGGGGUCACUGAAUUCCUCACGCAAGCAUUACCAAUUAUGGGUGUGCCACAAGCAAUAAAAACAGAUAAUGGACCUGCAUAUACCUCCAAACAUUUUGCACACUUUUGUGCACAGUAUCAGAUUUUACACACCACUGGCAUACCCUUUAAUCCUCAAGGACAGGCAAUAGUAGAGAGGAGAAACAGAGACAUUAAGACGCUGUUCCAAAAACAAAAGAAAGGGGGAGCCACAGGUAACCCUAGAGAACUACUAAAUCUAGCACUUUAUACUAUUAACUUCUUGAUUUUUGGCAAAGAUGCACUGGCUCCGGCAGACAGGUUUUAUAACCCACUGGAAGGGCAAUGUCCAGUGCGAGCAGCUCCACUAUCUUUAGAUAAUCGCCAGGUGAUGUGGAGAGACCCAGAAAGUGGUGAAUGGAAGGGACCAGAUAGGUUAACUGGGGGAGAGGGUUUGCUUGUAUCUCUACAGGUGGAGAAGGAAUCAGAUGGGUGCCAACGAGCCGUAUUCGCCUUGUCCAUCGCAGAGAGAUGGAGCAGACCCUUGAAAUGAAGGAGAAGACCCAAGAAACAUCGGGUGGUUCUGUUGCUGAUUGUGCUCACCAUUGAAAGAGUGUGGCAGUUAUGGCGUUUGACUCAUGGACAUAGAAAAUCAUUGGACUUCAAAACCCUCAGAAAUCAUUGGAUUCUCUGAGACAUGAUAAGAUUGUUGUAGGACUUUAAAUCCCUCAGGAAUCAUCGGAUUCUUUGAGACAUAAGACUUGAAAGCCCUCAGGAAUCAUUGGAUUUUCUGAGAAAUGAUAAGACUAUCACAGGACUUCAAAUUCUGCUGGAAUCAUUGGAUUCCCUAAGACAAAAAGACUUUUGCUGGACUUCAAAAACUUGGGGGGAUCAUUGGAUUCCCUGAUAUGUGAAGCAAUGGACAAUAGACUGGUUUUGGACUAUCUCUUGGCUGCUGAGGAGGUGUAUGUGUGACUGCUGUUUACAUACUCUCCUUCUAGGACUUCUGGCAAUCUUUUACAAUACAAUGUUGAUUUAUAGUUU
Molecule: long non-coding RNA, 4517 nt
Organism: Antechinus flavipes (yellow-footed antechinus)
Lineage: Eukaryota; Metazoa; Chordata; Mammalia; Dasyuromorphia; Dasyuridae
Exons: 2
Source: RefSeq, a predicted model, not a curated record